This 1169-nucleotide long non-coding RNA is filed under the name Vigna radiata. Its description in RNAcentral is "long non-coding RNA (VRAD_LNC006223)". The record is from RNAcentral. Lineage: Eukaryota; Viridiplantae; Streptophyta; Magnoliopsida; Fabales; Fabaceae.
AAAAGUGAUGCUAAAGUGGUGGAGAAAGGGUUUUCUAGAAGUGGGAUGAUAGGAGAAGUGAGAAAAGUGCUUAAAAGAGUGUUUGAAAGUGAAAGAGAGGUUGGGGAUGUUAAAGUAGACGUUUGGGCGAGCCCUAAGGUGUAUAAAAUUCAUGCAAUGGGUCAAGAAACAAAGACCAAAUUUAAAAAAACACUUUGACCCUUCAGCGUCGCCAUCGCUCAGUAGUGAGUUCACCGCCCAAGGGUAGGCGCGAUUUGGCUUUUCACCCUUUUUGCUUUGCUUCAAACGUCUUUGACCCUGUACACCUCAAGUUCAACUUUCAAAUUUUAAUUUUCAUGCAAUUCCCACUCACUCUACUCACUUAUGCAACACUUAAGCCCUAAAUGCAACUAGAACAUAAUUAGAACAUGCAAAGGAAACAAAUCAAUCAACUGGGUUGCCUCCCAGGUAGCGCUUGUUUAACGUCACGAGCCUGACCCAAAAUCUUUCUAGCAUCCAUCAAUAGGUGCAAACCUUAUCAUCACCCAUCAGUAGGUGUACCUUCUUGUAUCCUUCAGUAGAUACAUAAUCGUCUAGCAUCCCUUAGUAGAUGUUAUCCUGGUGGCAUUCAUCAGUAAAUGAUGUUAGUGACAUCCAUCAGUAGAUGUCUAAUCAUAUAACAUCCAUUCGUAGGUGCUAAUCUUUCUUAACAUCCUUUAGUAGAUGUCAUCUCUGCUAUCAGAAGAAGCAUAUAACCUAAAAAAUAAAAUAUAAUAUAAUAUAAUAAGAUAAAAUCAAAUCAAAUCAAAUCAAAUCAAAUCAAAUCAAAUCAAUUUAAACAAAAUAAAAGAUAAAAAAAAUUCAGAAAUUGGGUUGCCUCCCAGCAAGUGCUCUUUUAACGCCAUUAGCUUGACCCGGUAAAGCCCAAACACCCAUCACUAGGUGUUGAUAUUUUAUGUUGGCGUUCUUCCUUCCUCCAUGACACCAACAACAUCUCAAAAAUUUCCUUGUUGCCAACUCUAAGGAUCCUCAAUCUCAAGACCUCUGUUUGCUUUGAUAGUCUUCACAACCCAUAACCUAUUCUCGAAUUUUACUGAUAUUCCAGGUUUAGGUUUGUCACUUUUCACAUCAGGGUGUUGGUGAACCAAUUCUCCUUUCUUAUCUGCUACCUAAUGAUCUUGUGCUCCUGG